UGGGGAAUAUUGCACAAUGGGCGCAAGCCUGAUGCAGCGACGCCGCGUGGAUGAAGAAGGCCGAAAGGUUGUAAAGUUCUUUUGUUGGGGAAGAAUAACCAUGGGAGGGAAUGCCCGUGGGAUGACAUGAACCGACGAAUAAGCCCCGGCUAACUACGUGCCAGCAGCCGCGGUAACACGUAGGGGGCGAGCGUUGUUCGGAAUUACUGGGCGUAAAGGGCAUGUAGGCGGUCUUGUAAGCUUGGCGUGAAAGACCACGGCUCAACCGUGGGAUUGCGUUGAGAACUGCGAGGCUUGAGUGACGGAGAGGGAGCUAGAAUUCCUGGUGUAGGGGUGGAAUCUGUAGAGAUCAGGAAGAAUACCAAUGGCGAAGGCAAGCUCCUGGCCGAUGACUGACGCUGAGGUGCGAAAGUGUGGGGAUCAAACAGG
Molecule: ribosomal RNA, 429 nt
Filed under: uncultured prokaryote
Also listed under: 1 other name
Description: bacterial SSU rRNA
Rfam family: Bacterial small subunit ribosomal RNA
Source: RNAcentral